UUACGGCCAUAUCACAUAGAAACACUAGUUCCCAUAUAAUCACUAAAGUUAAGCAAUGUUGAGCCUGGUCAGUUCCUAGAUGGGUGACCGCGUGGGAACACCAGGUGUUGUAAG
Molecule: non-coding RNA, 114 nt
Organism: Acanthosepion pharaonis
Lineage: Eukaryota; Metazoa; Mollusca; Cephalopoda; Sepiida; Sepiidae
Source: the annotation of a GenBank genome assembly